This is an RNA transcript of Acanthochromis polyacanthus (spiny chromis), 8074 nucleotides long. It is a transcript of the gene named aryl hydrocarbon receptor 2, with no coding region annotated. The transcript has 12 exons. NCBI's taxonomy places the organism in Eukaryota, Metazoa, Chordata, Actinopteri, Pomacentridae. The record is from RefSeq and is a predicted model, not a curated record.
ACGGGAGCGCGCAGUGGUGGCAGCGGCCCUGUCAAAUCACAACGGCGACGACGAACACGGAGGACUUACAUAAAAAUCUUUCCAGACUCUUUGAACAGCUAAAAGUCGCUUUUAUUCGGUGCGGGGACGCUUCAGGCUGUGGAAUAUGGAAAGUUGUGACAGUUUACUGACGUCUCACGGACGUUUGCUGUAGCUAAAUCGGGGAAAAGUACUUAUUUUAGACUCAGCUAGCUUCGAGUCGUCAAGCAGCGGAGAGGACCGAGCGGCUCUGACCGACUCAUUGCCAGCUUCACUUCGCCGUUUCCCGGGGCAUGUGAGCCUCCUGUCACCGGGACCGACAGAGAAACCGGGAUAAAGCCAUUUUUCUUUUCUGUUGUUGUUGCCGGCUCCGAAGUGACCAUGAUGCCCAACACGGCGCUCUACGCGGCGAAGAAACGGAAGAAACCGGUCCAGAAAAUACCCAAACCUCAGCCUCCUGAUGGUGUCAAGACCAACCCGUCCAAACGCCACCGCGACCGUCUCAACGGCGAGCUGGACAAGCUCACCAGCCUGCUGCCCUUCACCGAGGACGUCCGGGCUCGGCUGGAUAAGCUGUCCGUCCUCCGCCUCAGCGUCGGCUUCCUGAAGGUCAAGAGCUUCUACAACGCCAUCCUGAAGGCGAGUCAGAGCAGCUCCAGCUGGACCAGCGAGCGAAGCCUGAUGUUCGGAGGAAACUCCCAGAAUGCCGCUGUGCCUCCAUCCUCCUCCUCUUCCUCCUCCUCUGUCCAGCCGCAGGCCGCCGUGGUGACGUCCAUCGAUGGAGUCAGCUUCUCUGAGGGAGACCUGCUGCUCCAGGCGCUCAACGGCUUCGUGUUGGUGGUGACGGCUGAAGGUUACGUCUUCUACACGUCUCCGACCGUCCAGGAGUUCCUGGGCUUCCACCAGUCGGACGUCAUCCAUCAGAGCGUCUUUGAGCUGAUCCACACUGACGACCGAGCUCUGUUCAGACGACAGCUUCACUUCUCCCUCAACCCCAGUCAGGACAGCAGCUCCAACCCCAGUGACCAGAGCAGCACUGAGAUCACCACCAACCUGAUCAACUACGACCCGCAGGCCAUCCCUCCAGAAAACUCGUCCUUCCUGGAGAGAAACUUCUGCUGCCGUUUCCGCUGCCUCCUCGACAACUCCUCCGGCUUCUUGGGGCUGAACUUCCGCGGCCGCCUGAGGCUCCUCCACGGCCAGAACCGGGUCUCAGACGACGGGACGCUGAUUCCCCCGCAGCUCGCUCUGUUCUCCACCGCCACGCCGCUGCAGCCGCCGUCCAUCCUGGAGAUCCGCACCAAGACGCUCCUCUUCCAGACCAAACACAAGCUGGACUUCUCUCCGCUGGGCAUCGACAGCAGAGGGAAGGUGGUUCUGGGCUACAAUGAAAUGGAGAUCUGCAUGAAGGGUUCAGGAUACAACUUCAUCCACGCCGCCGACAUGAUGUACUGCGCCGACAACCACAUCAGAAUGAUGAAAACUGGAGAAACCGGAUUCACCGCCUUCAGGCUGCUGACCAAAAACCGCUCGUGGAUCUGGGUCCACUCCAACGCCAGGGUGGUCUUCAAAGCAGGGAAGCCGGACUUCAUCGUGGCCCGACAGAGAGCUCUGACAAACGAAGAAGGAGAAGAGCAGCUUCGCCUCAGACGGCUGCAGCUUCCGUUCAGCUUCACCACCGGUGAGGCGGUUCUGUACGACACGACUCCCACCGUGGAGAUGCUCGACCCGUGCUCGGCUCCCAAGCAGAGGAAGCUGGACGACGACAACACCGUCAGCCGAGAGUCCCUGCUGGGCUGCAUGCUGAGCCAGGACCAGUCCAUCUACUGCGAGAACAACGCCAGCACCCUCAGCUCGCUCAGCGACGUGGCCUUCAGGGACACCCACGCCACCGUCAGCGUCCCCGGAGACGUGGCGCCCAAACCGGCCGUCGGAAACCUGAUGAAGGCGGAGGCGUCGAUGCAGGACAUGAUGGAUACUCUGCAGCAGAUCCUGGGGGACAACGAGCUGACGGAGACGGUGGACGUGGGUCCGGAGGAGCUGAAAACGUGGGAGAGCGCUCUGCUCAAGAUGAACUUCAGCAGCUGCGAGUUCAGCGAGGACCUCAACGACAUCAUCAGCAACGACAUCCUGACCUACGUGGAGGAGCAGCUCCAGAAGGAGGGCGGCCUCACGCUGCCCGACCAGCUGGACGACGUCCCGGCCUGCCUGUCCUCUCUGGACCUGCAGAACCAGGACCCUGAUCAGCCCGAGGAGCAGAACUUCAGCUGGCCUCUGGAGCCCCAGAACCAGCUGAUGCCGAGCGGAGGGCACGGGAUGGCGGCUCGGCCCGCUCCGGCUCUGGGAUCCAUGAAACUGAGCCACAUGGACUUCCCUCUGCUGAGCUCUGCCGGGUUAAACGGUCCGAGCCUUCAGCAGAACCUUCAGCAGAACCUUCCUGCUCCUCUACAGAUGGGCGCCAUUGGAAACAUGGGCGCUCUGGUGACUUUGAACUCCUGUCAGACUCAGAACCAGAGGAGCCUGCAGGUCAACAAGGACAGCAGCCUCGGAUCUUUCUCCCACCAGAUUCACCCCAGCCAGAUGGUCCAACCCAUGCAGAACCACCUUCAGAUGAGGAACCAGCCGCUGGGCCUCCAGGACCAGAACCGACAGUUUGAUCCUGUGUUCGGCUUCCAGGGCAGCGGGUGGAAUCCUCCGCUGUCCAACCAGGUCGACAGCUUCGUAGAAACAUUCGCCCCCAAUAUUUCAAGCAAAGCGGGUUUUUCUGCAGACCCGUCGUCGUCCGGCUGCCUGCAGGGUCACUUUGCUCUGCAGACCCAGAGCGCUGACACUCAGAGACAGUCCUGGCCUCUGGAGCAGCAGCUGCUAACAUCUGGACACCAACAGCUGUCAGGAGACGUCAGGCCGCCGUUCAGGACCGCUGAGGCCUCCGGCGCUCCGUUUCCUCCUCAGCAGGAGUCGGAGGCGUCGUCUUCAGGAAGCUGUAUGUUCGCAAACCCGGCGCCGCCCAGAAACAGAGUUCACCUCAGCCAGGCCCGGAUCAACCCGGCCACCAACCAGAUCACCUCCAAGCCCUCCUGCUUCUACGAGGCGCUGCCCCCAGGCGGCUCCAUGCCGGUGAUGGGGGCCGUCCCAAACCCCGACGAGGCGUCUCUGUCCUGUCAGAUGGCGGCUGGUCUGAACCCCAGCGGCCUCCUGGUCCAGCAGCAGCAGCACUUUGUGAACUUCAGCGAACAGACGCAGAUCAACAACCAUCCGGUCGUUGGAAACGGAAGCUUCCCGUUCUCGUCGCUGCCCAACGGGAACAGCUGCUACUCGGAGAACAAAUAAGGACGGCAGAACGUGGCUUUAACGGACACGAAAGACUCUAAAACAGAACGUGGAGCAGACUGAAGAACAAGAAUGUGCCUGAAAAGGACGAGGAGACGCAACAAGACGCCUCUCCGUCUCUUUUUAUUAUUAUUAUUAUUAUUAUUAUGAGGAAACAGUGCUGGAAGCUGUGAGAGUUCAGCUGGACAAACCAAAAACAACAGGAGAUAUCGAAGCAUUUAAACGUUUUCCCGGCAGUUUGACCAACGGAUGGGAGCUUUGAUUCUCCCGGCUGCAUCUCUUCAGACGACAAGGACGUUCAGUCGAUGUCGGCCACCAGGGGGCAGCAAUGAGCCUCUUCUACGCUUCAAAACAAACCAAUCGGAGCCACAAAACGGGACGUUUCCUGGAAAACGCAUCGGUUGGAGCUGGUUUUACACGUUUCCAAACUGGGAUUACUGGACUGAUGGACGCAGAAGUUAAAGACCCUGCGACUCAAACACCUGAUUUCUGCUACGAACGCUCAGAAGGAUAAAACAUAGUUUCUUUUUUUAUUAUUAUUAUUAUUAUCAUGGCUGUUUUUUGUCCUUUUGAAAAUGCGUCUGGACUCGGUUCAUUUCAACUCUUUGCUGACUCUCCCAGUGAGGGAGGCGUGCUUUGCAGACAGGGUAUAAAGAUGAUUUAUAAGGAAAACAGAUCAGAAGCGCACAACAAAAUGACUUCCUACUCAGUGAUUCAGUGAAAACAGCUGCUUGUUUAUAUAUUAUAAGCUUUGUCACUGAGCCAGCUUCCUUUCUCCUCUGUGUUUCUUUUUCUCUCAUAUUUCUUCUGUUGUUGCUUUUUUGUUGUUGUUGUUGUUGUUGGUGGGCGACAAAAUUCAGACGGUGCCUUACACUGAAACUGAAUGAAAAGCAUCCGAUAUCAGACAGAAACCAAAGCCAGUUUUUUUUUUUUUUGUUGCACUAGUUCUUUAAAGUGCUUGCCAAAGCAGAAUGUGCUUCCUUUAACUCCAAAUUAGUACAAAUUCAGAUGAUAACACUUCGAUUUCAACAGUUUAAACCAGGCGUGUCAAACUCAUUUUAGUUCCACUUUCAGCCCAAUCACAUUACCAGUAAAAUCACGACAUAAUAACCUAUAAAUAACCCAAAUAUUUGCUUUGUUUUAGUUCAUAAAAGUCCAUUCUGAAACUGUUCACGUUCAAUUAAUUAUCUUUUUACAAAACAUCAUGAACAACCUCAAACUUCUUAAGAAAAAUGAAUUAAAUUUCAACAACAUUCAGCCUCAGUUUGUCAUUUAUACUUUACAACUUCCACAUCACAGAGUGUCUACAGAGGAACACAACAUUUAGUCAUCUGGAGCUGAACGAUUCAGGAUUUAACUUUAUGAGCAAAACUCUGACAAAAGACAACAAAAACAAGACAAAAUAUGACAAAAACUGAGAAACAAAAAAAUUAGACAAACGGCACAACCAAGACCUAAAAAAAGCGCAAAACGACGCAAAACAAUGGACGAAGAAAAGCACAAAAUGUCAAAAAUGAGACAAAAAACACAAGCGAGACACAAAGGAAACACAAAACGACAAAAAACGAAGCAAAUGACAAAAGUCAGACAAAAAAGACAACAAAACAGCAAGUCAAAAUAUUACAAAAAUGAGACAAAAACUGAGAAACAAAAAAAUUAGACAAACGGCACAACCAAGACCAAAAAAAGCGCAAAACGACGCAAAACAAUGGACGAAGAAAAGCACAAAAUGUCAAAAAUGAGACAAAAAACACAAGCGAGACACAAAGGAAACACAAAACGACAAAAAAUGAAACAAAUGACAAAAGUCAGAGAAAAAGACAACAAAACAGCAAGUCAGACUAUUACAAAAAUGAGACACAAAAUUAGAAAAGUGAGACAAACGACAUGAAACGACACAAAAAAGGGACAAAAAAUUUGAUAAAAAAACACCAGAAAACGGUCAAAAACGAGGCAAAAAGUUACACAAACAAAAAAAAACAAGGGUCCGGAUUGGACCCUCUGGAGGCCCUGUUUUGGCCAACAGGCCACAUGUUUGACACCCCUGGGUUAAACUCAACUUACUCAUAUUUUCACAUCUUCUCCAGAUAAAAGACAAAAAAUAACUGAGCGCUGCCUUCAGAUUUCCCCUUUUUUAUGCUCGAAAAAGAAGCUAAAAGUGAAAAGCGAUGAGAUUCCACGUUUUCCACUGCAGCUUUCCGUCCACCCGCCCGGCAGCAGAAGUAAAACAGUCAAAGGCAGCUAUUGUACAUUUUAAACGAGGAAUAAAAAAUGGAAAAAAAAACUUUCAAGUGCCUUUAAAUUGACCUCCUUUUGUUUAAAGACAACAACAGGAUCGGUGGAAAAGAAACGCUGCGAGAGAAGCCUCGACUUUUUUGGACUUUUUUCUGAACAAGCAGCUCGAAUACUUGACUAAAAAAACCAAAAAACUAGUCUGGGGUGUUUCAUUCUCCAGGAUACCAAAGGGACGACACUGAACCUGCUGCUCAUUUUCACGAUUUUUUUUACGGAAACGGAACCAAAAUUCUGCAAAUAAAGAAGCCACAAACAGACCAGAAUGAUUGUAGUCGCCUCUUAAUCGUUCACUAACAGACAGAAAUAAACUGCUGGAUAUUGCUGACGUCAACAUCCAAAAUGACGGAAAUCUGUAGUUUUUUUUUUUAACUCUCCUGUCGUCCUGUGGGGGAAAUUAACGCGUUUUAAAGUUUGAAAAUGUGACGAAGAAAAAUUCUGAUGUCCACAUUUUCAACAUUUUUGGGAAAUCUUUGAAGAUUUUUUGGUUGAAAAUAAGAAAAAUGUUUCUUUAAGAACAUUCACAAAAAAAUCAACCAAAAUCCAGCGAAUUUCGCUGGAUUUUGGUUGAUUUUUUUGUGAAUGUUCUUAAAGAAAAUAUUAGAAGUUGUACUGACAUGUAUGGAAUCACUUCAGAUGCUUUUAAGGAUUUUUUGGAAGAUUUUUACUAAUUUUUUUGAAAAUAUUUACAAUUUUGAUAUUGUUUUAUUUUUAUUUGUUGGCAAAUUUGGGGAUUUUUUUUUUUUAAUAAAGCUUUUAGGGGAAACUUUUAAGGAAUUUUCUUCCUGAAGGUUUUGCAAAUUUUUUGAAAUUUGGGGAAUUAUGUAAUCACUUUAGAUAUUUUUGGGAUUUUUUUGGAAGAUUUUUGCUCAUUUUUUUAAAAGAAUAUUUACAAUUUUGAUCUUGUUUUAUUUUUAUUUCUUGCCAAAUUUGGGGAUUUUUUUUUAAAGUCUAACUUUUAAGGGAAACUUUUAAGGAAUUUUCUUCCUGAAGGUUUUGCAAAUUUUUUGAAAUUUGGGGAAUUAUGUAAUCACUUUAGAUAUUUUUGGGAUUUUUUUGGAAGAUUUUUGCUCAUUUUUUUAAAAGAAUAUUUACAAUUUUGAUCUUGUUUUAUUUUUAUUUCUUGCCAAAUUUGGGGAUUUUUUUUUAAAGUCUAACUUUUAAGGGAAACUUUUAAGGAAUUUUCUUCCUGAAGGUUUUGCAAAUUUUUUGAAAUUUGCGGAAUUAUGUAAUCACUUUAAAUAUUUUUGGGAUUUUUUUGGAAGAUUUUUACUCAUUUUUAAAAAAAAAAUAUUUACAAAUUUCAGGGAUUUUUAUGAAUAAAACUUUUAAGGGAAACUUUUAAGGAAUUAUUGGCAUUUUAUUCCUGAAGGUUUUGCAAAUUUUCAGAAAUUUGGGGGAUUUUUUUUGCUUAAUUUUUUGAUAUUUUGCAGACAAAGAAUAUUUUUUGGACAACAGGAGAGUUAAGCAAACAAAACAGUGAAAAAUGCCAAAUAUUCUCCGCUGACCGACUCUCAAAUGAAGGGAUUUGCUGUUCCAGUCAAUAUUUUCGUGUCUCACGUUAAAAUUUGCGGAAAAAAAGCAUGUCGUAUGAUGUAAGCGUGACAUCAUAAACUCUGCUUUUAUGUGAAUUUUCGUGGCAUUUCUCCGUUUUUUGGGUUUAUCUGGACUCAAAUCGUACAUAAAUAGACCCGGAUGUGUUAGAAAGUUCCCAGAAAUCAGCUUCAUGUGCAGCUCGGAUGUUGACGAGAACGACACGCGUGUAAGUCGGACUCUGACUGAGGCAUUCUGGGAAACGUAGUGAAACCACUACCAGUGUUUUACAAAAGCUUUGGCUCAGUUUUUACAGCAGCACGGUCAAACGUCGCUUCAUUCCACCUCGUCUGCAGCAGGAAUUUAAAUUAAAUAAAGCUUGUGCUACAUUUACAGGACGGAACGAUUGAUUUUGUAUGCCACAGAUCCCGUAUAUUUUUCAAGAAACACGGUAAAAUAAAUACUACUGCGCUGGAAGCCUGUAAUUAACAUUUUUACAGCUGAGAAAUGGAGUUUCACAGUCGGAGGUUAGAUUUGAGCGGAUCUACGUCCUGAAAACUGAGCCGAAGCAGCUGUAAAAUGAUCUAAAAAUUCACUCACGGAUCCCUGAACUCGUCUCUCAGCGCAAACCGAAGCAUCUUCUCCUCUUUGAAACCUUUUCUUCACUCAAUAUUCUCCCUGUAGGAAUAUAAAUAUCUUAUUUUUGUCGCUUGCUUCCUCAUUGUACAAACAUUAUCCUCUUUGAUUGGACUCCAGAAUGCAGUAUCUUUGUGCAACUGUAUAUAAAUAUAUAUAUUUGUCUUUUUUUUCAUAUAUUGUGUAUUUUAAUAUCAUAUUGCCUUAACCUGACUCACCAUUUUUUGUACAUUUUCUGCACAGCAUAAACAUACGUAACCUCCUG